Long non-coding RNA from Sardina pilchardus (European sardine), 676 nucleotides. RefSeq lists it as uncharacterized. The record is from RefSeq and is a predicted model, not a curated record. The transcript has 3 exons. NCBI's taxonomy places the organism in Eukaryota, Metazoa, Chordata, Actinopteri, Clupeiformes, Clupeidae.
UUGAGAUUCAUGGUCUGACGGUUUAGUUAGUCGAAUAUGCGGAUGCAGACAGUAAUGUCGGACAGAAAUAGGAACUGUAUUUUAGCCCACCUCACACUAACGUUACAUAUCGGAACAUAAGCAUAUCUGCAUUCACUUUGCCGACAGUGUUUAUUUAUCAAUCCCAGAAUUUGUUUCGGUAAAUAGCCUACAAUUUUUGAAGGGUUUUUUUUUAUAGACAGUUAACGCAUGCCAUCCCAACACAUUCCUUUGCUACGGCGGCCGCUACCACCAAAGAAGCUGCCUCCGCUUAAACCUCCUCUGUCUCAAUGCAUCUCUGCAUGCGCGCUACGCGCCACUAGCCCCGCCCUUCCUGCUCAACGACUUCCUGCUGCGGCUGGGACCCGGCCAAUCACAGGGCGGCUCCAGGAGGAGGCGGGUCUCUGUGUACCACUACAGGAAGCUGGUGGACCACUUCCUGUUGGACCUGCACAGCAGUGGACAGACGGAGGUGGCCAAUCAGAUUCUCUCCUCUGAGCAGAUCCCGCCUACCAAGUGCAGAGUGCCUCAGAGACAACUGCUGUGUGAGCUGGAGGCUUUGAUUCGUAUGGAGUAUCAGGUGCAGUCUCUGAGGAGUGUGUGUGAGUGUGACACGGGUUCCCAGUCCAAGCAGCUGUCUGUGGAGGAGUGGACACCA